RNAcentral lists this ribosomal RNA (484 nucleotides) under uncultured bacterium. RNAcentral describes it as "partial 16S ribosomal RNA". It matches the Rfam family "Bacterial small subunit ribosomal RNA", at positions 30 to 507 of the family's 1533-position model. The record is from RNAcentral.
AUUGAACGCUGGCGGCAGGCCUAACACAUGCAAGUCGAGCGGAUGAAGGGAGCUUGCUCCUGGAUUCAGCGGCGGACGGGUGAGUAAUGCCUAGGAAUCUGCCUGGUAGUGGGGGAUAACGUCCGGAAACGGGCGCUAAUACCGCAUACGUCCUGAGGGAGAAAGUGGGGGAUCUUCGGACCUCACGCUAUCAGAUGAGCCUAGGUCGGAUUAGCUAGUUGGUGGGGUAAAGGCCUACCAAGGCGACGAUCCGUAACUGGUCUGAGAGGAUGAUCAGUCACACUGGAACUGAGACACGGUCCAGACUCCUACGGGAGGCAGCAGUAGGGAAUAUUGGACAAUGGGCGAAAGCCUGAUCCAGCCAUGCCGCGUGUGCGAAGAAGGUCUUCGGAUUGUAAAGCACUUUAAGUUGGGAGGAAGGGCAGUAAGUUAAUACCUUGCUGUUUUGACGUUACCAACAGAAUAAGCACCGGCUAACUUCGUG